This is a non-coding RNA of Hordeum vulgare subsp. vulgare (domesticated barley), 136 nucleotides long. NCBI's taxonomy places the organism in Eukaryota, Viridiplantae, Streptophyta, Magnoliopsida, Poales, Poaceae. The record is from Rfam.
CUAAUACUCCCUCCGUUCCAAAAUNNNNNUCUUAGAUUUGUCUAGAUAUAAAUGUAUCUAGUCACAUUUUAGUAUUUAGAAACAUCUAUUUGUAAACAAACCUAAUACAAGAAUUUUGGGAUGGAGGAAGUACUUU